AGAGGAGAAAUAGCUACCUCUAUCAGCACCUGUGACAACCAUUAAAAUUCCGGAGAUACAACGGUUAGUAAUUGUAAAUAUUCAUUUUUAUACUGACUUUCAAAUGUCUGAACGAAUUAAAAAGACACUUGCAAACACCAAACUGUAAGUGCAGUAACACGGCUAAGCUAAAGGAGUAAAUGCAGGUACUAGAAUGAGGUUGUGUAUUCCUAAACAUGUAUUUAUUUGGAGGUAAGUUUAUUAAUGUAUUAAUUUUAUUAUAUUUUCUAUUAAAACAGAUCUACAUGAUAACCUGAAUUUAGGUGGCCAUUAUCGAUAUGACAACUCUUUGGGUAAGCUACUUUAGGUCAACGCGAUAACUCAAGAUCUUGGUUAUGUUGUGUUGGAUCCAUUGCCAGGUACGGGGCAAGAACGCACAUUCUGCACCACUCAGGGUGUUUGUUACUACAGGAGUGUCCUCAGAGGAAGCCUAGACAGAACAAGAAACAGAAGGGAUGCUAUAUCAAUUGCCGCAGCAAGUGUGAAGCAACUUGCAAGUGUAAGCAUUUGCAUAUCUUCUACUAGCUUAUAUCAGCUAUGUUGUUCGGACUCUCCAAAAUGCUCAGCACAUUCGUGUCGGAUCCUCAAAAAGUAGUCAUCCAGCAUGUGCCCGAAAACAUUUUGAAGAGUCUUGAGCAACAUAGCCUGUCAGUGCAUUUGAACAAUGUGCUCGAGAGAUUGGUCACAGCAACAACUGCAUCCCCUAUUGUAGAAUUUAUAAAUAUUAUCUCUAGCAAUGUAAAUAGCCAACAAUCACUAUCAUAUGUAAAUAUGAGCAUCCGGUAGUAUGUUAUUUCCAUGAUUGUAUAAAACAUACAUUUAAACUCAUUUUUAUCAACUGGUCCAAUGAAACGGAAUAGUCCUUUGUUGUUACAUCUUUUUUUAUUCUACUAUACGCGCAAAGGCGGAUCCAGGAUUUGGAAGCUCCGGGUGCCACCCUGUU
Molecule: long non-coding RNA, 982 nt
Filed under: Capsicum annuum
Lineage: Eukaryota; Viridiplantae; Streptophyta; Magnoliopsida; Solanales; Solanaceae
Description: long non-coding RNA (CANN_LNC004887)
Source: RNAcentral